RNAcentral lists this long non-coding RNA (309 nucleotides) under Bos taurus (domestic cattle). RNAcentral describes it as "long non-coding RNA NONBTAT026937". Lineage: Eukaryota; Metazoa; Chordata; Mammalia; Artiodactyla; Bovidae. The record is from RNAcentral.
UGACUGUAUAACACCUGACAGAAUCAAUUAUAACUGACUGUUGUUUGAUACCUUUGCACGGAAAUAAAUGAAACAGACAUUCAGAACAGAGACGGCUGCUGCCUGUGUGCCUAAGCCUGCCUUAAUUAAAAUAAAAUAACCAGCAGGCGAUGUUAAAAUGUCUUUGCCUUGUGGUUCGUAGUGCAGUGUGUUUCUUUAAGUCCAAAAAGGCUUUUACAAAGAGUAAAGCUGAAAAGAGAUUUUUAGUUUACUGAUACAGAAAUAAAAUAUCUGAAAGAGAGAUGGUUUCCUUAGAUGGGAGAAUACUCC